This 468-nucleotide ribosomal RNA is filed under the name uncultured bacterium. RNAcentral describes it as "partial 16S ribosomal RNA". It matches the Rfam family "Bacterial small subunit ribosomal RNA", at positions 28 to 507 of the family's 1533-position model. The record is from RNAcentral.
GACGAACGCUGGCGGCGUGCUUAACACAUGCAAGUCGAACGGAAAGGCCCUGCUUUUGUGGGGUGCUCGAGUGGCGAACGGGUGAGUAACACGUGAGUAACCUGCCCUUGACUUUGGGAUAACUUCAGGAAACUGGGGCUAAUACCGGAUAGGAGCUCCUGCUGCAUGGUGGGGGUUGGAAAGUUUCGGCGGUUGGGGAUGGACUCGCGGCUUAUCAGCUUGUUGGUGGGGUAGUGGCUUACCAAGGCUUUGACGGGUAGCCGGCCUGAGAGGGUGACCGGCCACAUUGGGGCUAAGAUACGGCCCAGACUCCUACGGGAGGCAGCAGUGGGGAAUAUUGCACAAUGGGCGGAAGCCUGAUGCAGCAACGCCGCGUGCGGGAUGACGGCCUUCGGGUUGUAAACCGCUUUCGCCUGUGACGAAGCGUGAGUGACGGUAAUGGGUAAAGAAGCACCGGCUAACUACGUG